RNAcentral lists this ribosomal RNA (516 nucleotides) under uncultured bacterium. Its description in RNAcentral is "partial 16S ribosomal RNA". It matches the Rfam family "Bacterial small subunit ribosomal RNA", at positions 28 to 523 of the family's 1533-position model. The record is from RNAcentral.
GAUGAACGCUGGCGGCGUGCCUAAUACAUGCAAGUCGAACGCAUUGAGAGAAGUGCUUGCACUUUUCAAUUUAAGUGGCGAACGGGUGAGUAACACGUGGGCAACCUACCUGAUAGCGGGGGAUAACGAGUGGAAACAUUCGCUAAUACCGCAUAACAAUAGAGAAGGCAUCUUCUUUAUUUAAAAGGCGCUUUCAAGCGUCACUAUCAGAUGGGCCCGCGGUGCAUUAGUUAGUUGGUGGGGUGAAGGCCUACCAAGACGAUGAUGCAUAGCCGGGUUGAGAGACUGAUCGGCCACAUUGGGACUGAGACACGGCCCAAACUCCUACGGGAGGCUGCAGUAGGGAAUCUUCCACAAUGGACGAAAGUCUGAUGGAGCAACGCCGCGUGUGUGAUGAAGGCUUUCGGGUCGUAAAGCACUGUUGUAUGGGAAGAAAUGCUAGGCUAGGAAAUGAGCUUAGUUUGACGGUACCAUACCAGAAAGGGACGGCUAAAUACGUGCCAGCAGCCGCCGUAA